Molecule: unclassified non-coding RNA, 328 nt
Filed under: soil metagenome
Description: partial contains 5.8S ribosomal RNA, internal transcribed spacer 2, and large subunit ribosomal RNA
Rfam family: 5.8S ribosomal RNA (bases 1-119)
Source: RNAcentral
GAUGAAGAACGUAGUGAAAUGCGAUACGUAAUGUGAAUUGCAAAUUCAGUGAAUCAUCGAGUCUUUGAACGCACAUUGCGCCCCCUGGUAUUCCGGGGGGCAUGCCUGUUCGAGCGUCAUUACAACCCUCAAGCUCUGCUUGGUAUUGGGCCCCGCCAGUUCUGGCGGGCCCUAAAGUCAGUGGCGGUGCCUUCCGGCUCCGAGCGUAGUAAUUCUUCUCGCUCUGGAGACCCGGUUGUGUGCUUGCCAACAACCCCCAAUUUUUUAAGGUUGACCUCGGAUCAGGUAGGGAUACCCGCUGAACUUAAGCAUAUCAAUAAGCGGAGGA